This 74-nucleotide transfer RNA is filed under the name Candidatus Shapirobacteria bacterium CG10_big_fil_rev_8_21_14_0_10_40_9. RNAcentral describes it as "tRNA-Gly". It matches the Rfam family "tRNA". Rfam says of the family: Transfer RNA (tRNA) molecules are approximately 80 nucleotides in length. Their secondary structure includes four short double-helical elements and three loops (D, anti-codon, and T loops). Further hydrogen bonds mediate the characteristic L-shaped molecular structure. tRNAs have two regions of fundamental functional importance: the anti-codon, which is responsible for specific mRNA codon recognition, and the 3' end, to which the tRNAs corresponding amino acid is attached (by aminoacyl-tRNA synthetases). tRNAs cope with the degeneracy of the genetic code in two manners: having more than one tRNA (with a specific anti-codon) for a particular amino acid; and 'wobble' base-pairing, i.e. permitting non-standard base-pairing at the 3rd anti-codon position. Lineage: Bacteria; Candidatus Shapironibacteriota. The record is from RNAcentral.
GCGGGUAUAGUUGAGCGGUUCAACAUUACCUUCCCAAGGUAAAAAGACGGGUUCGACUCCCGUUACCCGCUCAA